UACGGGGGGGGCAAGCGUUGUUCGGAAUUACUGGGCGUAAAGGGCUCGUAGGUGGCCAACUAAGUCAGACGUGAAAUCCCUCGGCUUAACCGGGGAACUGCGUCUGAUACUGGAUGGCUUGAGUUUGGGAGAGGGACGCGGAAUUCCAGGUGUAGCGGUGAAAUGCGUAGAUAUCUGGAGGAACACCGGUGGCGAAGGCGGCGUCCUGGACCAACACUGACACUGAGGCGCGAAAGCCAGGGGAGCAAACGGG
This 253-nucleotide ribosomal RNA is filed under the name uncultured bacterium. RNAcentral describes it as "partial 16S ribosomal RNA". It matches the Rfam family "Bacterial small subunit ribosomal RNA", at positions 524 to 776 of the family's 1533-position model. The record is from RNAcentral.